CUAAGACUUGCCACUUUGGCAGAACUCUCUGGAAAGCGGUGUCUUCCUUUCACCAGAGAUGUAAAACAGUGUCCGGAAUGGUACCCAGGAUGGUGGUACACUGGAGCACACACACCUAAGUAAGGGGACAGCUGUUCCUCAGCUCUGGUCACUGUUAGUGUAUAAGAAUGUGGAACCCUUGCCUGGGCAUGGUGGCUCACGCCUGUAAUCCCAGCACUUUGGGAGGGUGAGGCGGGCAAAUCACCUGAGGUCAGGAGUUCGAGACCAGUCUGGCCAACAUGGUGAAACCCCAUCUCUACUAAAAAUACAAAAAUUAGUGGGGCGUACUGGUUGGCGCCUGUAAUCUCAACUACUCGGGAGGCAGAGGCUGGAGAAUCGCUUGAACCCUGGAGGCAGAGGUUGCAGUGAGCCGAGAUCGCACCACUGCACUCUGGCCUGGGUGACAAGAGUGAGACAACGUCUCAAAAUAAAUAAAUAAAUAAAAAUGUCAGCUAGUAAUUCACAUCUUUUAAAAGCAAUGUACAAGUCAACGGGGUGGAGGGCAACAGAACAUGUCUGCAGCAAGCCAGUCUGUGAACUCAGAGAAGCUAUGAAAUUGAACUUCACGGAAGAUGUGAUUAAAGGCGAGAGGCUGGUGUGUUUCAACAGUGAAGGUCAGAUGAAAAGUACAUAUGCGGACAUGCAUUUCCUCUUGCUCCAUUUCAGGUUGCGCUUGCAAACAGUGUGAGGUGGCUGAGUAUAUUUAGCCACGUGCCUUUUUUUUUUUUCCCUGUUCAGAUUGCAUCUCUUAAGACUUCUGCCUUUGCUGAAAACUGGCAUUGCCAUUUUACUCUUACACUUUGCAGGAAAAUAACUCCAAGAGGAAAUUGACUGUGAAGCCUUAUGGAGUGCCCCCUCAAGAUGGGGAAAAAAAAGAAAAGAGAGAAAUAUAAUCAAGCACUCAGAGUGGAGAAAAUUAAGUGCUGGCGGAGCAGCAGCCAUGCCUAUGCGGAGUAUGUGCACAAAAGGAUGCUAAUGGGACUUAAUGCUGCUGUCCCGUGUUGUAGGGAGCUUGAGAGCUCACAAAGGAAGGGCUAUAUGUUAAUUUAACGAGAGGUGCCCAAUGCUUGACCAAAGGCAAACUACCAUGGCCUCUUGCUUGAAGGGCACAUACAUAUCUGGGGCUGGGACUGUAACAUAUUAUGCUUGGCUAAAAACCAGCCUCCCAAUUAAGAGAAAUUGAUGGCUGUUUUGCACAGACUGAUCCUGAGCAGGGGGCUGUUUAGUUCAAAAGCAAAUUGUCUGUGUUGUUUGGGAUUUGAGUUUUAAAGGUAAUAAAGUCCACAAUUUUGCCUACUGUUUAACCCCACUUUAAUGGACUGGGCAGAGAAACAAAGUCAUUGGAUCAUUCCAUAGAAAACGACUUUUAUAUUCUGUUUUAGGGAAACAAAAAUUUCCAACAUACUCGGGUAUUUUACAACCAAGAUGUGAAACAAAGUGAUCCUUGCUCUUUAUCUGUCUUUCCUUUAUCAGCAAAUAAGGAAGUACAAGCAUGAAAGCAAAAUCGGAGGAACAUUUCCUGGACAGCAUUCCCAUCUCCAGUAAGAGUCCUUCUCACUUCAUAAAAGCGAUACGUAGAAGCAAGACUCUGCCUUUGCGGUGACGUCACUGAAUAUGCAGCCGGGGCCCAGAGUUGAACAAAUGCCACUCUGGCAAGCGGGGCAGGGUCUGGCUUAGCAACUUGACUUUGACCUACCACCUCUGGAUAAUUUUGCUUCUACAUAACUAUGGAGAUGAUGUACUCAUUCUAUUUAUAAAAAUAAUGCCCUUGGAGUAAACCCCAACCAUCCACUCCUACCUCCACCCUGGCCCAGGCCUGUUCUGCCCCAGUGCACCUAAUCUUCCUUCAUUCUUUAUCCCCCUUGUUCACACUGUGCCUGCAUCCUGCUCCUUGAACAAGCCUGGCCUCAUGCCGUUGCACGCUUGCUGCUUCCUCUAUCUGGAAUGCCUUUCUCAUUGCUCCUUGCCAAGCCACUCCUUUUUUUUUUUAGACACAGUUUCACUCUGUCGCCCAGGCUGGAAUGCAGUGGUGCAGUCUUGGCUCACUGCAACCUCUGCCUCCCGGGUUCAAGAGGUUCUCCUGUCUCAGCCUCCCAAGCAGCUGGGAUUAUAGGCGCACACCACCACGCCCAGCUAAUUUUUGUAUUACAAGUAAAGAUGGGGUUUCAACAUGGCCAGGCUGGUCUUGAACUCCUGAUCUCAGGUGAUCUGCCCACCUUGGCCUCCCAAAGUGCUAGGAUUACAGGCGUGAGCCACAGCGCCUGGCCCCAGGUCACUCCUAAUCCAUCAGGUUUCAACUGAAAUGUCAUGCUGGAAAGAGGCCUUCCUUCUCUCUCUAUCCUGGCUAACACUGCCUUCUCUCCCACACCAUCUUGCUAUCCCAUCUUUCUCUUCUGUUUUCUUCAGAGAACUUACUGAUACCUGAAAUGAUCUCAUCGUUUAUUUCUUCCUUUUUUCUUCAUUGUCUGUCUCCCCUUUGGAGCACAGGUUGCUUAAGAACAGGCACCUCACUGGGUGUGACCCAUGCCUGUAAUCCCAGCUACUCAGGAAGCUGGGGUGAGAGGAUGGCUUGAGCCCAGGAGUUCAAGGCUGCAGUGAGCUAUGAUUGUACCAAUGCACUCCAGCCUGGGUAACAGAGCACAAUUCCGUCUUUAAAAAAUAAUACAAAAAUAAAAAAGUAUAGGCACCUCUUCAGUUUUGUUCAUUUCUGAAUCUCUGGUGCCUGGGACAGAGCCUGAUGGUCAGUGAGAGGUGCUUAACAAAUGCUUGUGGAAGGAAGGACUGGGAUAUACUUUUGCAGUUCAAAGGACUUCAGGAAUGAAAUGGCAAUCUGAGGAUGGGGAGUAAAAUGUCCUGUUGUCAACCCUGUAAGCUGCUAAACC
This 2921-nucleotide long non-coding RNA is filed under the name Homo sapiens (human). Its description in RNAcentral is "HSALNT0229278". Lineage: Eukaryota; Metazoa; Chordata; Mammalia; Primates; Hominidae. The record is from RNAcentral.